Molecule: long non-coding RNA, 852 nt
Organism: Dendrobium catenatum
Lineage: Eukaryota; Viridiplantae; Streptophyta; Magnoliopsida; Asparagales; Orchidaceae
Exons: 2
Source: RefSeq, a predicted model, not a curated record
CUUCCGGACUCUACAUGUAAUAAUUUCUCCAUUACUAGGGUGGAUGGAAGGCUUAGGCGUUUGAUAAGGCAUCUGAAUUUUCACCCAAGAGAAAUGGUAAUAAUUAUGGCACUAAUGAGGUGGUCGUAGUCAGUCAGGAUCAGGAUAGUGAUGCACAAUAUUUGGUUUUUGUCAUAGUUCACAGCUUCGCAUAAUGACUAAUUCCUCCACAAUUACGAGGGAAUGUAUGGAUGAAAUUAAUCCUUUGGGUUCAAUGUAUGUUAAAAGAACGAUCAAAUUGGAGCACUGAGCUUUUGGUUAUUAUUCAUCACCAAAUUGGGCUGUGUAGCGCUGGCCAUGGAGUGAGAUAUAAAUAACAAGGGCCACAGGGUUAUUUACAGAAGAAGGAUUUUAUGCAUGGCCUUCUAGGGUUUUUCGCUCUCUCUUUCCUCAUAUAUAGAACAAUCGCAAGGACAAAAAUCUCUUAAGAAAUCCAGCUUGCUUAAGUAAUGAAUAUGAUGUAAAGUUCAAAGAUGGCGGUGGACGGCGAUCGGCGUGCAACGGUUGUGGCUGUGGUGAUUGGCGGAGGGUGGUGGCAGUGGCGGCGAUGACAAUGUGCAGGGUUGUUUGGCGGCGGAGGUGGCGGUCAAGCGAGCCUGCUUGUGGUGUAAAUAGUUUUCGCUCAAAAUUGAAAGAAAUUGAUUUACUUAAAAACCGAAUUAAAAUAAUUUAUAUUAUAUUUACUUUUCUUUGCAUUUCUUUUGCAUCCAAUCAAGCAUUUGAAAUUUCAAAAUCCAUUGCAUUUGUAAUCCUUUACACCAUUUUGUAUUUCAGCCAAACAGCCCCUUAACAUAAAGUCACAAUUUAGAUGCA